ACCCUCUUCACCCAACCGUGUCCAAAGCAGGAAGAGAGGAAAGGAGGCAGCCAGCCUCUCCUCAUUUGCCUUUUUCUUAUCUGAAAGGAAACACGUUCCCAGAAGUCCCCAGCAGAGACCGGGCCCAUGGCCAGCUGGAGAAGUCAGCGUCAGUCAGCUGGCAGGAAGGGAGGGCAGCCGACAGGCCAGCCCCCCAAGCCAGGACUCCAGCACUUUCCAAUACUUAGCAAAGGGUAGACAAGAAGAGGGUCAGACCAGCUGAGCUGCCUGGAAGAGCUUUAGACCAACUGAGGCACCUGGAGAGGACACUCUUCCACCUGGGAAGCCGCCUGCAGGCUGUGCAGUGUGCUCUGGGUUCCCAGCUUCGGGAGCUGUCACCCAUACUGGGGUAGGAUUUGGUGAUACAGUCGUCUUUGAGGCAUUUUUGCUCCUGUGGGUAACCCGUCAUCCCAUAUUCCUGUUAGUGACCCCAAUAAAACUCAUCCAUGGUUCACC
Long non-coding RNA from Peromyscus leucopus (white-footed mouse), 495 nucleotides. RefSeq lists it as uncharacterized. The record is from RefSeq and is a predicted model, not a curated record. Lineage: Eukaryota; Metazoa; Chordata; Mammalia; Rodentia; Cricetidae. The transcript is spliced from 3 exons.